GAAACAGGGGAGAAAGAAGGAGAAAAAGAAAGAAAAGAAAGAAAAGGGAAAAUUCAAGGUAAGCAAAGAAAAAUGGCAAAGACGACGGGAGUUAGCUCGAGAAAAUACGGUUAAGUAAAGAUAAAACGUUGAAUCAACAUCCUA
Molecule: long non-coding RNA, 144 nt
Organism: Gossypium arboreum
Lineage: Eukaryota; Viridiplantae; Streptophyta; Magnoliopsida; Malvales; Malvaceae
Exons: 3
Source: RefSeq, a predicted model, not a curated record